This 554-nucleotide long non-coding RNA is filed under the name Cricetulus griseus (Chinese hamster). RNAcentral's name for it is "lncRNA (ENSCGRG00000024556.1)". Lineage: Eukaryota; Metazoa; Chordata; Mammalia; Rodentia; Cricetidae. The record is from RNAcentral.
GGCUUUGAGCAUUUGGGUUAAAGCUCCCAAAUAAGAAUACCACUACCACCGCCGCCCCCCCUCCUCCCAAGGUUGGAAAAGUCUGAUUCUGAUUCACUUCCUUUUUGUGUUCUGCUUUCCUGUCAUGUCUACUUUCCCUAGGAUCUCAUCCUUCCAGACUGUGGGCUUCACGUUGCUGUGAGGAAGGAGUGUGGCACAGGCAGACCUCCAGUGCUCUGAGUGGAAUACCAAUGGAGUUUUCAUUUUGGGAGCUUGGAUCACUUACACGUCACAUGCAAAGUCUGAGUCAUAGCUGGUCCAUGGACUCUACUAUCGGCCUUGUGCUGUAUUGUACCCUGGCUUUCUUAGAGGACUACUGGAUUAGAUGGAGAGAAUGCCCAGGCAUCUCCAUGGCCCCAUUCAGGUUCCAGAGCUUCAUCAAGUCAGUGAGGAGCUACAUGUACCACGGGAGGAGGUACUACAGGAUAUCCUUGUUGUGCACCAGGCAGUACAGAGGGGUAAGAUAUUGCUCCUUACGGCCCCAGCUCUUGACCAAAGCUCUUCUAAAAGAGUGA